AACGAACGCUGGCGGCAUGCCUAACACAUGCAAGUCGAACGAGACCUUCGGGUCUAGUGGCGCACGGGUGCGUAACGCGUGGGAACCUGCCCUUAGGUUCGGAAUAACUCCCCGAAAGGGGUGCUAAUACCGGAUAAUGUCUUCGGACCAAAGAUUUAUCGCCUUUGGAUGGGCCCGCGUUGGAUUAGCUAGUUGGUAGGGUAAAAGCCUACCAAGGCGACGAUCCAUAGCUGGUCUGAGAGGAUGAUCAGCCACACUGGGACUGAGCCACGGCCCAGACUCCUCCGGGAGGCAGCAGUGGGGAAUGUUGGACAAUGGGCGAAAGCCUGAUCCAGCAAUGCCGCGUGAGUGAUGAAGGCCUUAGGGUUGUAAAGCUCUUUUACCCGUGAUGAUAAUGACAGUACCGGGAGAAUAAGCUCCGGCUAACUCCGUU
This 433-nucleotide ribosomal RNA is filed under the name uncultured bacterium. RNAcentral describes it as "partial 16S ribosomal RNA". It matches the Rfam family "Bacterial small subunit ribosomal RNA", at positions 29 to 507 of the family's 1533-position model. The record is from RNAcentral.